RNAcentral lists this ribosomal RNA (471 nucleotides) under uncultured bacterium. RNAcentral's name for it is "partial 16S ribosomal RNA". It matches the Rfam family "Bacterial small subunit ribosomal RNA", at positions 28 to 507 of the family's 1533-position model. The record is from RNAcentral.
GACGAACGCUGGCGACGUGCUUAACACAUGCAAGUCGAACGAUGAAGCCUAGCUUGCUAGGUGGAUUAGUGGCGAACGGGUGAGUAAUACGUGAGUAACCUACCUUUAACUCUGGGAUAAGCCCGGGAAACUGGGUCUAAUACCGGAUACGACCAAUCUCCGCAUGGGGUGUUGGUGGAAAGCGUUAUGUAGUGGUUAUAGAUGGGCUCACGGCCUAUCAGCUUGUUGGUGAGGUAACGGCUCACCAAGGCGACGACGGGUAGCCGGCCUGAGAGGGUGACCGGCCACACUGGGACUGAGACACGGCCCAGACUCCUACGGGAGGCAGCAGUGGGGAAUAUUGCACAAUGGGCGCAAGCCUGAUGCAGCGACGCCGCGUGAGGGAUGACGGCCUUCGGGUUGUAAACCUCUGUUAGCAGGGAAGAAGAGAGAUUGACGGUACCUGCAGAGAAAGCGCCGGCUAACUACGUG